GACGAACGCUGGCGGCAUGCCUAAUACAUGCAAGUCGAGCGAACAGAUGAAGUGCUUGCACUUCUGACGUUAGCGGCGAACGGGUGAGUAACACGUAAGGAAUCUACCUAUAAGCGGGGGAUAACUUUCGGAAACGGGUGCUAAUACCGCAUAAUAUCUUCUUCCGCAUGGAAGAAGAUUGAAAGACGGCUCUGCUGUCACUUAUAGAUGACCUUGCGGUGCAUUAGUUAGUUGGUGGGGUAACGGCCUACCAAGACGAUGAUGCAUAGCCGACCGGAGAGGGUGAUCGGCCACAUUGGGACUGAGACACGGCCCAAACUCCUACGGGAGGCAGCAGUAGGGAAUCUUCCGCAAUGGGCGAAAGCCUGACGGAGCAAUGCCGCGUGAGUGAAGAAGGCCUUCGGGUCGUAAAACUCUGUUAUAAGAGAAGAACAAAUUGUAGAGUAACUGCUACAGUCUUGACGGUAUCUUAUCAGAAAGCCACAGCUAACUACGUGCCAGCCGCCGCCGUAA
RNAcentral lists this ribosomal RNA (513 nucleotides) under uncultured bacterium. Its description in RNAcentral is "partial 16S ribosomal RNA". It matches the Rfam family "Bacterial small subunit ribosomal RNA", at positions 28 to 523 of the family's 1533-position model. The record is from RNAcentral.